RNAcentral lists this ribosomal RNA (440 nucleotides) under uncultured bacterium. Its description in RNAcentral is "partial 16S ribosomal RNA". It matches the Rfam family "Bacterial small subunit ribosomal RNA", at positions 338 to 795 of the family's 1533-position model. The record is from RNAcentral.
CCUACGGGUGGCAGCAGUGGGGGAUAUUGCACAAUGGGGGGAACCCUGAUGCAGCGACGCCGCGUGGGUGAAGAAGCGCCUAGGCGCGUAAAGCUCUGUCAGCAGGGAAGAAAAUGACGGUACCUGAAGAAGAAGCGACGGCCAAAUACGUGCAAGCAGCCGCGGUAAUACGUCGGGGGCCAGCGUUAUCCGGGUGUACUGGGUGUAAAGGGGGCGCAGGCGGCGAUGCAAGCCAGGAGUGAAAGACAGGGGCCCAACCCCGGGACUGCUCGUGUAAAUGCGGUGCUGGAGGGGAGGAGGGGCAGGCGGAAGUCCUGGUGUAGCGGUGAAAUGCGUAGAUAUCAGGAGGAACACCGGUGGCGAAGGCGGCCUGCUGGACUGCAACUGACGUUGAGGCCCGAAAGCGUGGGGAGCAAACAGGAUUAGAUACCCCUGUAGUC